AAAAACAUCGCCUCUUGACAAAAUAUAAGAGGUCCAGCCUGCCCAGUGACAAAGUUAAACGGCCGCGGUACCCUAACCGUGCGAAGGUAGCGCAAUCACUUGUUCUUUAAAUAAGGACUAGUAUGAACGGCAUCACGAGAGUUAUACUGUCUCCCUCUUUCAAUCAGUGAAACUGACCUCCCCGUGAAGAGGCGGGGAUGUAAAUAUAAGACGAGAAGACCCCAUGGAGCUUUAAACUCAGUAUCAAUUACCUUAUUAUACACCAUUUUAACCAGGUAAAUAUGAUUACUAGUUUUCGGUUGGGGUGACCGCGGAGUAAAAUAAAACCUCCACGAUGAAAGGACCAAUCCUCCUAAUCAAAGAGCUACCGCUCAAAGAAUCAACAAAUUGACAUAAUUGAUCCAAUUAAUUUUGAUCAACGAACCAAGUUACCCUGGGGAUAACAGCGCAAUCCACUUCAAGAGCUCCUAUCGACAAGUGGGUUUACGACCUCGAUGUUGGAUCAGGGUAUCCCAGUGGUGCAGCCGCUACUAAAGGUUCGUUUGUUCAACGAUUAAAACCCUACGUGAUCUG
Molecule: ribosomal RNA, 573 nt
Filed under: Kaloula nonggangensis (Nonggang narrow-mouthed frog)
Lineage: Eukaryota; Metazoa; Chordata; Amphibia; Anura; Microhylidae
Description: partial large subunit ribosomal RNA
Rfam family: Bacterial large subunit ribosomal RNA
Source: RNAcentral